Molecule: long non-coding RNA, 677 nt
Organism: Gorilla gorilla gorilla (western lowland gorilla)
Lineage: Eukaryota; Metazoa; Chordata; Mammalia; Primates; Hominidae
Exons: 3
Source: RefSeq, a predicted model, not a curated record
UUUCAAAUCUCCCUGGCUUAGGUGAAAUGCAGACUGUAUUCAAGCAACCUGAUUCCAUACCGGAUGGAGCUGGAAUUGAAGCUUAACUUUAAAGCUUUAAGCACAACACUUAAUUGUUAUCCAAUACUGAGAGCAGGAAUUUGUAACUGAUUGCUCCUCUUCUGGACAUCCAGCACCAAGAACAGUGUUUGGUCCACAGAAGAAAAACGUAAAUCGUGAUGAAAAUUUUCAUCAGCUGGGGGGGAAUAUUGAUUUCAAUUUUAGGCAUGGGAUGACCAGAGCUGAGAAUGCCUAUUUAUUGAAAACCAUCAAAAUGUACAACAAAUUGAAAAAAGAAUUACUACCUGUAGAAGAGGUAGUAUACCUCAUUUUCAAGUUGAAGUUGAUUAAAUUUUGAAUGAAAACUAAUUAUGAGAAAAGUUUUCAGUACUGUAACAAAGGCCAGCUAAUGUUUUCCAUUUAUAGUUUUACUGGCUGAAAAGGAAUAUUGUCUGCACUCAUAGCCACCAAACAAACGGCGAUCCAUAAUAUACAGGAUGAACAUAGUGGCAAAUGUUAAAUGGGAAAUCUUGACUGAGGCUCUGAGAUAGGAUAACUAUUAAAAGGAGUUAGUGAGGCAGAUCAAAAUGCAAACUGUUCAACUGUUAGAGAACUGGUUUCUCAAACAGAGUUGCAGU